GAUAUGGGCUAAGCAUCCGCUAACCGGUUCUCUAGUCUUCCGGUUUAAUCCACCUGCUUAACUCAUGGGCAUGCGGAAGGAUACUAGUARAGCUASGCAGGCGGCGAGAGGCAWCCGGUACUCCCAUGGGUAGGGGUAGAAAUCGCGUUGAUCCUCUUGAAGACCACCCCUGGCGAACGCGGCUUGCCAKAACGCGCUCGACASUGAUGGAUGAAAGCUGGAGGAGCAAACUGKAUUAGAUACCCSGGUACUCCCAGCUGUAAACGAUGCAAACUCGGUGAUG
This 283-nucleotide ribosomal RNA is filed under the name uncultured archaeon. RNAcentral describes it as "partial 16S ribosomal RNA". It matches the Rfam family "Archaeal small subunit ribosomal RNA", at positions 513 to 776 of the family's 1478-position model. The record is from RNAcentral.